UGGGGAAUAUUGGACAAUGGGCGAAAGCCUGAUCCAGCCAUGCCGCGUGUGUGAAGAAGGUCUUCAGAUUGUAAAGCACUUUAAGUUGGGAGGAAGGGCAGUAAGCGAAUACCUUGCUGCUUUGACGUUACCGACAGAAUAAGCACCGGCUAACUCUGUGCCAGCAGCCGCGGUAAUACAGAGGGUGCAAGCGUUAAUCGGAAUUACUGGGCGUAAAGCGCGCGUAGGUGGUUCGUUAAGUUGAAUGUGAAAGCCCCGGGCUCAACCUGGGAACUGCAUCCAAAACUGGCGAGCUAGAGUAGGGCAGAGGGUGGUGGAAUUUCCUGUGUAGCGGUGAAAUGCGUAGAUAUAGGAAGGAACACCAGUGGCGAAGGCGACCACCUGGGCUCAUACUGACACUGAGGUGCGAAAGCGUGGGGAGCAAACAGG
This 429-nucleotide ribosomal RNA is filed under the name Pseudomonadota bacterium. Its description in RNAcentral is "Proteobacteria bacterium partial 16S ribosomal RNA". It matches the Rfam family "Bacterial small subunit ribosomal RNA", at positions 355 to 776 of the family's 1533-position model. Lineage: Bacteria; Pseudomonadati; Pseudomonadota. The record is from RNAcentral.